CAAAACUGAAAAAAAAUAUUUCAGCAGAUGUCGCACAAGUGCCAAAUACAGAGCAAACAACUCCACUCCUUCUGCUAAUAAAGCACAGACACUAAGAGCCAUCCCAUUCACCAACUGCCACACAGAAAGUCAUGCCCACAGCAAACAGAAUCUACACUGGAGUUUCAGAACUGAAAACUUGCCUGGUCAUCAUAUUAGAUAUUUCUUCCAGUUCUGAGACAACGGACACAGAGAGAAACAACAAAAAAACCUUUUUACAAGUGAGCCUGG
Molecule: long non-coding RNA, 270 nt
Organism: Trachemys scripta elegans
Lineage: Eukaryota; Metazoa; Chordata; Testudines; Emydidae
Exons: 3
Source: RefSeq, a predicted model, not a curated record